RNAcentral lists this ribosomal RNA (1346 nucleotides) under uncultured bacterium. Its description in RNAcentral is "partial 16S ribosomal RNA". It matches the Rfam family "Bacterial small subunit ribosomal RNA", at positions 28 to 1381 of the family's 1533-position model. The record is from RNAcentral.
GACGAACCUUUGCGGCGUGCUUAACACAUGCAAGUCGAACGGAAAGGCCCUGCUUUUGUGGGGUGCUCGAGUGGCGAACGGGUGAGUAACACGUGAGUAACCUGCCCUUGACUUUGGGAUAACUUCAGGAAACUGGGGCUAAUACCGGAUAGGAGCUCCUGCUGCAUGGUGGGGGUUGGAAAGUUUCGGCGGUUGGGGAUGGACUCGCGGCUUAUCAGCUUGUUGGUGGGGUAGUGGCUUACCAAGGCUUUGACGGGUAGCCGGCCUGAGAGGGUGACCGGCCACAUUGGGACUGAGAUACGGCCCAGACUCCUACGGGAGGCAGCAGUGGGGAAUAUUGCACAAUGGGCGGAAGCCUGAUGCAGCAACGCCGCGUGCGGGAUGACGGCCUUCGGGUUGUAAACCGCUUUCGCCUGUGACGAAGCGUGAGUGACGGUAAUGGGUAAAGAAGCACCGGCUAACUACGUGCCAGCAGCCGCGGUGAUACGUAGGGUGCGAGCGUUGUCCGGGUUUAUUGGGCGUAAAGGGCUCGUAGGUGGUUGAUCGCGUCGGAAGUGUAAUCUUGGGGCUUAACCCUGAGCGUGCUUUCGAUACGGGUUGACUUGAGGAAGGUAGGGGAGAAUGGAAUUCCUGGUGGAGCGGUGGAAUGCGCAGAUAUCAGGAGGAACACCAGUGGCGAAGGCGGUUCUCUGGGCCUUUCCUGACGCUGAGGAGCGAAAGCGUGGGGAGCGAACAGGCUUAGAUACCCUGGUAGUCCACGCUGUAAACGGUGGGUACUAGGUGUGGGGUCCAUUCCACGGGUUCCGUGCCGUAGCUAACGCUUUAAGUACCCCGCCUGGGGAGUACGGCCGCAAGGCUAAAACUCAAAGGAAUUGACGGGGCCCCGCACAAGCGGCGGAGCAUGCGGAUUAAUUCGAUGCAACGCGUAGAACCUUACCUGGGUUUGACAUGGAUCGGGAGUGCUCAGAGAUGGGUGUGCCUCUUUUGGGGUCGGUUCACAGGUGGUGCAUGGCUGUCGUCAGCUCGUGUCGUGAGAUGUUGGGUUAAGUCCCGCAACGAGCGCAACCCUUGUUCACUGUUGCCAGCACGUUAUGGUGGGGACUCAGUGGAGACCGCCGGGGUCAACUCGGAGGAAGGUGGGGAUGACGUCAAGUCAUCAUGCCCCUUAUGUCCAGGGCUUCACGCAUGCUACAAUGGCUGGUACAGAGAGUGGCGAGCCUGUGAGGGUGAGCGAAUCUCGGAAAGCCGGUCUCAGUUCGGAUUGGGGUCUGCAACUCGACCUCAUGAAGUCGGAGUCGCUAGUAAUCGCAGAUCAGCAACGCUGCGGUGAAUACGUUCCCGGGGCU